UACGUAGGGGGCAAGCGUUGUCCGGAAUCAUUGGGCGUAAAGCGCGCGUAGGCGGCCCGGUAAGUCCGUUGUGAAAGUCAAAGGCUCAACCUUUGAACGCCGAUGGAUACUGCCGGGCUAGAGUCCGGAAGAGGCGAGUGGAAUUCCUGGUGUAGCGGUGAAAUGCGCAGAUAUCAGGAAGAACACCUAUGGCGAAGGCAGCUCUCUGGGACGGUACUGACGCUGAGACGCGAAAGCGUGGGGAGCGAACAGG
RNAcentral lists this ribosomal RNA (253 nucleotides) under uncultured bacterium. RNAcentral's name for it is "partial 16S ribosomal RNA". It matches the Rfam family "Bacterial small subunit ribosomal RNA", at positions 524 to 776 of the family's 1533-position model. The record is from RNAcentral.